AUUGAACGCUGGCGGCAUGCUUUACACAUGCAAGUCGAACGGCAGCGCGGGCUUCGGCCUGGCGGCGAGUGGCGAACGGGUGAGUAAUACAUCGGAACGUGCCCAGUAGUGGGGGAUAGCUCGGCGAAAGCCGGAUUAAUACCGCAUACGACCUGAGGGUGAAAGCGGGGGAUCUUCGGACCUCGCGCUAUUGGAGCGGCCGAUGGCAGAUUAGCUAGUUGGUGGGGUAAAGGCCUACCAAGGCGACGAUCUGUAGCUGGUCUGAGAGGACGACCAGCCACACUGGAAGUGAGACACGGUCCAGAAUCCUACGGGAGGGAGCAGUGGGGAAUAUUGGACAAUGGGCGAAAGCCUGAUCCAGCCAUGCGGCGUGUGUGAAGAAGGUCUUCGGAUUGUAAAGCACUUUAAGUUGGGAGGAAGGGCAGUAAGUUAAUAACUUGCUGUUAUGACGUUACCAACAGAAUAAGCACCGGCUAACUUCGUG
This 484-nucleotide ribosomal RNA is filed under the name uncultured bacterium. RNAcentral's name for it is "partial 16S ribosomal RNA". It matches the Rfam family "Bacterial small subunit ribosomal RNA", at positions 30 to 507 of the family's 1533-position model. The record is from RNAcentral.